Molecule: ribosomal RNA, 253 nt
Filed under: uncultured bacterium
Lineage: Bacteria
Description: partial 16S ribosomal RNA
Rfam family: Bacterial small subunit ribosomal RNA
Source: RNAcentral
UACGAAGGGGGCUAGCGUUGCUCGGAAUCACUGGGCGUAAAGCGCACGUAGGCGGAUCGUUAAGUCAGGGGUGAAAUCCUGGAGCUCAACUCCAGAACUGCCUUUGAUACUGGCGAUCUUGAGUUCGGGAGAGGUGAGUGGAACUGCGAGUGUAGAGGUGAAAUUCGUAGAUAUUCGCAAGAACACCAGUGGCGAAGGCGGCUCUUUGGCCUGUAACUGACGCUGAGGCGCGAAAGCGUGGGGAGCAAACAGG